UACGGAGGAUCCAAGCGUUAUCCGGAAUCAUUGGGUUUAAAGGGUCCGUAGGCGGUUUUAUAAGUCAGUGGUGAAAUCCGGCAGCUCAACUGUCGCACUGCCAUUGAUACUGUAGAACUUGAAUUAUUGUGAAGUAACUAGAAUAUGUAGUGUAGCGGUGAAAUGCUUAGAUAUUACAUGGAAUACCCAUUGCGAAGGCAGGUUACUAACAAUAUAUUGACGCUGAUGGACGAAAGCGUGGGGAGCGAACAGG
Molecule: ribosomal RNA, 253 nt
Filed under: uncultured bacterium
Lineage: Bacteria
Description: partial 16S ribosomal RNA
Rfam family: Bacterial small subunit ribosomal RNA
Source: RNAcentral